CGUGUUGCUGCUCUAUCUUAGGAUGCUAGCUCACCUCUCGAACCUGUUUCCUCAACGGAAAGAAAUGGGAGGAAAAUGCCUGUUUUACUUAGGGAUUUUUGAAUCUGGAAUGGGAGAACAGCCGUGGGUAUCUUCACGGCUUCAGAAUCAACUAGACAUCAGUCAGUUCAUUGCGUCUCACUCUCUUCUUCAUCGACGGGCCUUGUGAAUUAUUGGUAAAAUAGAUACAGCUUUCAGGGGCUGGGCCAUGGAGGACCCCAAGACCCUCUCCCGGUCUCUGGAUUAUGGACUUACGAGCCUGACAAAGCAGUGGAGCAGAUACAGCGCCGUCAGGUGGUGGAACUGAAUGCGUGGCUGCUAAGGUGGAGACACUGAGACACAGAGUGGAUAAAUAACGCGCCUGCGUUCACACAGCUCGUCACAGCUGGAGCUGGGAUACGGGUUCAGGCAGUCUUGCUCUAGAGCUGUGGCUCGCAGCACAGUGCUCUUUGGGUUCAAUGAAACAAAACACGUUAAAAUACUGAGCGCAUGAUGACAACUGUGCAGAGACCCUGAAGUGCCUACCUAACAGUCGCUCAACUUCUCUUCCUUAGAACAACUUCUCAUCUCAUAUGGGGAUUUAAAGUGCCCAAUUAAAAGACCACGUUUGCCAGCCACUGAGAAUAAAGAAAUGUCAGUGGAAACUGUGAGGUGGGAAGUCCUGGAAAACCUCGUGGGGGAGGGGCAGACAGGGGGCAUGUGUCAUUUAUGCAGGUCACGCCUUCCUUUCUGCUUCCUUCCUGGAUAAAUUGUUGGACCUCCAGCUGUCGCCUGGCCCCACAAAGAAGCCAUGAGGAUGUAAGCCACCUGCUGUGGCUGGGAAACAGAGAGGCAGGACGCGGGACCUCGACGACAAAUAGAGCUGCCACCCUACUGCAGGUGCUUUACCUGGAUGAUCUUUGUUAAAUGCACAGAAAUGAAUUUCUACCUUCUUGAGGCUACUUGUUUCUGGUCUCUCACCAGCAGCUGACAUCAGGAGCUGAUUAAGAACUCAAUCCAUUUUUUAAAAUUUUAGAUCAAUAGAAAGAGAUUUGUUUCCAUGUACUCAGGGCUAACCACUGUGAGGAGGGUGGGCGAGAACUCCCACGGAAUAUUAUACAUGGUUCUGCUGCUCAAGGAGUUUCCGCUUUGCUGUGGAGCAAUCAAGAUGAACUCUGGCACAGCAGGGGGCUUCAAGAUCUGCUCCAACACUCUGGAGAUGCUCUUUCUGAUGGGCUCGACCAAGAUGGCACAAAAGGAAGAGGAAGCCAGCAGAUGGGGAGGUCAGAACAGGAAGACUGCAAUACUCUGAAACGAGUAUGACUAUUUAACAAGGAUUAAGACGUAAACAUCAGGUCAUGAUUUCUCUUUAGGGGAAGAUAUAACAUCUUCUUUCAUAACGACACAUUUUCUUCUUCUGGUAGUAGUAUGUUCUGGCUCUCUUCCCUUUAAUGCCCACAAAAAUUUUGCACAGAAAGCAGUAGAGAGAUAUAAGUGAUAUUUUUAUCUGUUUUUGUUUCGAAUCUAUAAUUAAGAACUACUUUAUGCUAGAGAAACAUCAGAUAUAAAUGAAAUAAAUACCUAAGUUUCAUAUUCUUUUAUCAAAUAUCGAAGGACCGUGGAGGAAAUUCAUGUUCUAGGGAAUCAGGAAUUAAUCUGCAUUAUCCUGAAUAUAAUAAGUGGAAUUAUAGGGCAAAAUUAAUAUAAAGUAAAUAGAUAAAUAUUUUUGAAACCAUUAACAUCUGUGGUUUAGCAAUAGCAUUUGACAAUGUUUAAAUAGCUAACAAAGAAGGAGUUUAAUUUGCCUAAAAAAUACUAUUUAACCAAAAUGAUUAAUGCGAUUUCUGGUUUCUGGGCAAUUUUCAAAUGUAAUGUCAGAAAAGAAGAUAAGAUUAUUAGAUAGUAAGAAACUGAUUUCCCCAAAUUCAUAAAAACUUUGUAAGGUCAGAUUCAUAUUAUUAUAGACUCUCAAACAGUACAAAUUUCUAUCAGGUGUAGGCUAUUACUUCAAUUCUAUGAAUUGAGGCAAAAUUUGCUGCUUUCCUAGAGAAAGAGAUACAGUAUUUGUAUUUUCAGUAACAAGUCACAGUAACCAAAAUCUUAUGUUUCUAUGGAAGCAGAAACUUUCAAUUGAUAGGUACUGAAAAAUAAAAACUGCAUGAUUGUGUUAUAGCCAAGAUAAUUAAUAUCUGCAGCGAAGCUGCACACUGGUUGUCAAUCCUUUAUUCAUAAAACUUUUAUUGAUUAGGCAUCAGGUCAAUGUACGGGGCUGUAUAUUUGGGGAAUAUAAAGAUCGAGAAGACACCCUAUUUGUGUACCCACAGAAUUAUAAUAUGAGGCUGAAAUUGGAAGGGACCUGAUUAAUGCAUUUGGAAGUGUGCAAAUGGAGACAAUAUUAAAAUUCUGUUAAACUUCGGUGAAAUCGGCAAUGUGGGGAAGCUUAGCGGUGUGCUUGGAAGAGGACUUACCCGUGGUCUGUGAUGCCGCUGUUGCAUCAAAUCAUGAUCCUUUUACUAUCAGCACAAUUUAGGGGAGACACAGCUAGAAAACAUCAUGGUUAAUACACACAUUUUAUUUUCUAACUAAUAAAAACAUGAUUUUUUUCAUAUUAUCUUAUACAUUUCCUUGUUUAGCAUCACCAAGUUUAAGUUUUCUCCACAUUUAAAGUACAAAGAUUCUUUUAACUUGCUUUUGGGCCUUGGCAAAUACACGUAUUUAAUAUCAGAGGUCCAAAUUACUUUUCAUAACAUGAUUUCAACCACUUUAGCAUCAUUAAGAUUGUUUAUAUAGUUUCAAAGCACAGCAAAGAAUACCAGGGUAUUGUUUACAUUUCUUAUGUAGCUGAAUACAUAGAUUUGUUUUUCCUUUAAUUGAUGUUAGCUUUGUUGGAAGUUAAACAACUUUUCUGGAGAGUCAGCCAAAAGCUUUUGACAGAUACAUUUUAAUGACUUAAAAUGAAAUCGGUCAGAUCAACCUCCAUGUUUCAAAAAUUCUCUGAUCUGUUCUGAGACAAUUGUCAGUUUUAACGUCUUUAGAUUUCUCAAUGUCAAACAAAAUUCAUCUUUGUCUACUUUUAGGUUUAUUUUUCUUGGGUUGGUUCUGUAAUGCAAUUGACUAUUGCUUUACAAGAAGAUAUCCAAAUAUUGUAAUUUCUCCAGUGAUGAAUAUUUACUUCACUUAUAGUCAAUAUAUAUCUCAUAGUUCUAGGUCAAUCUUAUCCACUUAUACAAACUCUUUUUGUUUCGAAGAUGCCAGAUGUGGGUAAAUGGAUAUCAGAAAAAUAAAACAAGAAAGAGGAAAACUUGUUGCUUCCCAUUGUGUGUUUAUACAAAAUCCACUAUACACACACGUAUUUUUAAGGAAUAUGUGGCUCAGCCUACACAAACACAGGAUUUUGUAGAGUUCACAGCAUCACCAAGUUGCUGAAGAAACAGAUUAGGCUGAAGCUUCCAGGACAUUUCCUGAACUACUCUGCACAACCAGCCCAGACAGCAGCCACCACCAACUGAUGAAGAUCAAGGCUGCCCCUGCCCCAGGGAGAGAAGUCCAAGGAAGAGCACUACUAUCAGACCUUGAGAGUCCAAGAAAUCUUUCUUUCGAUUCCUCAACUCACCGAGCCUGCAUCAUUUCUUCUGGUGGCCCGUAUGGGGAUCUUGCUUCAUUGGCGUGUGAGCUUAAGUUCUGGUAAGUGCCCUUUUCUUCCUUGUGCCUUCCUCUUUUUCAAGGAUGGAUCUAAAUUCA
RNAcentral lists this long non-coding RNA (3759 nucleotides) under Equus caballus (horse). RNAcentral describes it as "lncRNA (ENSECAG00000049080.1)". The record is from RNAcentral. Lineage: Eukaryota; Metazoa; Chordata; Mammalia; Perissodactyla; Equidae.